UAAGAAGCUAAGAAGGAGUAUAAGUAAUCUAGAAUCAAUCUUUACAGGUAGAGGAUACCAUGGACUGAGAGUAUCUUCAAAGAUAUUCUGGAUGAAAUUCACUCUGGAGCUAUUUGGCUGAAGAUAUAGAUUAGGUCAAAUCGGUUUCCCCCGUUAUAGGAAUUUGAGAGUGGACUCCAGUAUUAAGGGUUGACUGGAGUUAACCAGGGUGGUAACACGGCCCUCUCGUCCCUGUA
This 236-nucleotide non-coding RNA is filed under the name Acetohalobium arabaticum. RNAcentral describes it as "T-box sequence". It matches the Rfam family "T-box leader". From Rfam's summary of the family: Uncharged tRNA acts as the effector for transcription antitermination of genes in the T-box leader family. T-boxes are found upstream of many aminoacyl-tRNA synthetase genes and some amino acid biosynthetic genes usually in Gram-positive bacteria. Lineage: Bacteria; Bacillati; Bacillota; Clostridia; Halanaerobiales; Halobacteroidaceae. The record is from RNAcentral.